Long non-coding RNA from Erinaceus europaeus (western European hedgehog), 568 nucleotides. RefSeq lists it as uncharacterized. The record is from RefSeq and is a predicted model, not a curated record. Lineage: Eukaryota; Metazoa; Chordata; Mammalia; Eulipotyphla; Erinaceidae. The transcript is spliced from 4 exons.
CCCCAGGGCACCCAGCCCAGCGCAGGGGCGGCGGAGGCAACGCUGGGUGCCCCAGUUCCCGCGGCUCACACUCGGGUGGGCACCUAUGCAGGGGAUGGUUGUCGAAAGAGCCGGGGAGUCUUCGGAGUCUCGGUGGCCCAGGUGUGUCUGACACUGGCCAGCAGCGCAGAUGGAGGACCUCUUCGUAUCCCCCGCCACCGGCCUCCAGGGGCAAGGCUAGGUGCCACAACCGUCCCUGGAGCCCCUCAAAGAGCACAGGCGAAAAUGCCUGGAGGCUGAGCUGCCACUGUGGUCGAGGCACCUCUAAUAGAGGAUGGACCUCAGAAUCCCCUGCCCAGAAUUUGGAGAACCUUGAAGAAAGCAAGUAGUGGAAGUGGGUAGGCACACUCCAGUUUCUGUGGCAUCUGGGACAGGAAUAUAAAUGGCGGCCUCCUUGCCAUCUGUUGAGAUAUAAACACUGUCAAUCAAAUGGGAAUCUGCUAGGUAAAAUAUGUUCUACCUUCUGGCCUUAACAAAUAUAUCUUUGUAAUGUCCUAGAAGGCCAGAUUUUAAUUUAAAACUGGAUUCU